RNAcentral lists this ribosomal RNA (301 nucleotides) under uncultured bacterium. RNAcentral describes it as "partial 16S ribosomal RNA". It matches the Rfam family "Bacterial small subunit ribosomal RNA", at positions 509 to 807 of the family's 1533-position model. The record is from RNAcentral.
CAGUCGCCACGGUAAGACAGAGGAUGCAAGCGUUAUCCGGAAUGAUUGGGCGUAAAGGGCUCGCAGGCGGUUUCUUAAGUCUGACGUGAAAGCCCCCGGCUCAACCGGGGAGGGUCAUUGGAAACUGGGAAACUUGAGUGCAGAAGAGGAGAGUGGAAUUCCACGUGUAGCGGUGAAAUGCGUAGAGAUGUGGAGGAACACCAGUGGCGAAGGCGACUCUCUGGUCUGUAACUGACGCUGAGGAGCGAAAGCGUGGGGAGCGAACAGGAUUAGAUACCCGUGUAGUCCCUGUCUCUUAUAC